This is a non-coding RNA of Pelobates cultripes (western spadefoot toad), 252 nucleotides long. The record is from the annotation of a GenBank genome assembly. Lineage: Eukaryota; Metazoa; Chordata; Amphibia; Anura; Pelobatidae.
GGGAGGAUAAGAAAAUAAAGCAAAACCAGAUAUUCUUCCAAAGUCUACUUGCUAUGCAAAUUAGAGUCAGUUUGAAAGUUGUUUUGCUUUGACCAUUUGUAGUAGUCCUGGUAACACUGUCCAUUGUUGGAUUGCAAUCGCCUAUCCAUUAAGAAAACAUUUCCCGGAUGGUUGUUGUCGAUAAGUGUACAUGUUAAGAACAGCUCCACGCAAAAUAUCUGUGAUAAAUAGCAUUAAACUGAAAUCUAAAAA